Molecule: ribosomal RNA, 377 nt
Filed under: uncultured bacterium
Lineage: Bacteria
Description: bacterial SSU rRNA
Rfam family: Bacterial small subunit ribosomal RNA
Source: RNAcentral
AUACGUAGGGGGCAAGCGUUGUCCGGAAUUAUUGGGCGUAAAGCGCGCGCAGGCGGUCUCUUAAGUCUGAUGUGAAAUCUCGCGGCUCAACCGCGAGCGGUCAUUGGAAACUGGGGGACUUGAGUGUAGGAGAGGAAAGUGGAAUUCCACGUGUAGCGGUGAAAUGCGUAGAGAUGUGGAGGAACACCAGUGGCGAAGGCGACUUUCUGGCCUAUAACUGACGCUGAGGCGCGAAAGCGUGGGGAGCAAACAGGAUUAGAUACCCUGGUAGUCCACGCCGUAAACGAUGAGUGCUAGGUGUUAGGGGUUUCGAUACCCUUAGUGCCGGCGUUAACACAUUAAGCACUCCGCCUGGGGAGUACGGCCGCAAGGCUGAA